Molecule: ribosomal RNA, 332 nt
Filed under: uncultured bacterium
Lineage: Bacteria
Description: bacterial SSU rRNA
Rfam family: Bacterial small subunit ribosomal RNA
Source: RNAcentral
UGCGCAGGCGGUUUUGUAAGUCAGAUGUGAAAUCCCCGGGCUCAACCUGGGAACUGCGUUUGAAACUACAAGGCUAGAGUAUGGCAGAGGGGGGUAGAAUUCCACGUGUAGCAGUGAAAUGCGUAGAGAUGUGGAGGAAUACCAAUGGCGAAGGCAGCCCCCUGGGUCAAUACUGACGCUCAUGCACGAAAGCGUGGGGAGCAAACAGGAUUAGAUACCCUGGUAGUCCACGCCCUAAACGAUGUCUACUAGUUGUUGGUGGAGUAAAAUCCAUUAGUAACGCAGCUAACGCGUGAAGUAGACCGCCUGGGGAGUACGGUCGCAAGAUUAAA